RNAcentral lists this small RNA (28 nucleotides) under Bombyx mori (domestic silkworm). RNAcentral describes it as "ovarian small RNA-29694". Lineage: Eukaryota; Metazoa; Arthropoda; Insecta; Lepidoptera; Bombycidae. The record is from RNAcentral.
UCUCCUUUCAAUCCAAGUGUGCAUGAUA